GACAAACGCGGCGGCGUGCCUAAUACAUGCAAGUCGAACGAGAGCGACCGGUGCUUGCACUGGUCAAUCUAGUGGCGAACGGGUGAGUAACACGUGGGUAACCUGCCCAUCAGAGGGGGAUAACAUCCGGAAACGGAUGCUAAAACCGCAUAGGUCUUCGAGCCGCAUGGCUUGAAGAGGAAAAGAGGCGCAAGCUUCUGCUGAUGGAUGGACCCGCGGUGCAUUAGCUAGUUGGUGAGGUAACGGCUCACCAAGGCCGUGAUGCAUAGCCGACCUGAGAGGGUGAUCGGCCACAUUGGGACUGAGACACGGCCCAAACUCCUACGGGAGGCAGCAGUAGGGAAUCUUCCGCAAUGGACGCAAGUCUGACGGAGCAACGCCGCGUGAGUGAAGAAGAUUUUCGGAUCGUAAAACUCUGUUGUUAGAGAAGAACAAGUGCUAGAGUAACUGUUAGCGCCUUGACG
RNAcentral lists this ribosomal RNA (464 nucleotides) under Granulicatella adiacens. RNAcentral's name for it is "bacterial SSU rRNA". It matches the Rfam family "Bacterial small subunit ribosomal RNA", at positions 28 to 474 of the family's 1533-position model. The record is from RNAcentral. Lineage: Bacteria; Bacillati; Bacillota; Bacilli; Lactobacillales; Carnobacteriaceae.